CGGUCCUGGUCGAGUCGUACACCGCCUGGGCGAUCUGCACCGCGCGAAGUCCGUCGAGCGUGUCGCCGAGCGGCACCACUCCGCCCCCGAUCCGCCGGAGAAAAUCGGUGAGCUCUUCCUGAAAGGACGCGAGGGUGGUGGUCUCCCAUCCCUGCAGCUUCUCCCGCACCUUGAUGUCGAAAUAGGUCCGCGCCAGGCGGCGGCGCGGAGUGCCAGGGCGCUCGUGCGUGAUCAGCAGGUUCGAUUGCGGCGCGACGGUGCCUUGGACCAUGCCCUUCUCGCCGUAGGCCUCCAGCGCAAUCUGGUACCCUUGCCACUCGUUCCAGGUCGCCUCGUAGAUGGCGGAGGCGCCGGAUUCGGCCUUGAAGACCGCCACGGCGCGAUCCUCCGAC
This 392-nucleotide unclassified non-coding RNA is filed under the name uncultured bacterium. RNAcentral describes it as "contains 16S-23S intergenic spacer region". The record is from RNAcentral.